GUGAGGAGAACUAAGGGAUCCCAGACAUGCAGCACCAUCGCCACCUCCUGCAGGAGCAACCACACUGCAAUCAGAGUUCAUCUCUGGAGACAGAAGAAAGGAUCGCAGAUGGAGUCAAGGGGACAUAAACCACUCCCAUCAACGCCCUCUUCAGGAAGGUGCCAUCACUUUGCCGAUCGUAUUGUUCCAGCACCUGACUGCCUCCUUCAGGUCCCACCGGAAGAACCAACCGCCCGCCUGGCUUCAGUUGCUCCAAAAGCUUUUGUAAAAGAAGAAAAAAAAUUGGAUCUUUCACACAUAUUUAUUUAAAUUGUUUUUAAAUAUGCAGGAACUGUCAUUGAAAAGCCUUAGAUUAGCCAAACAACCUCUCAUCUCCGGCAAAUGGUGUCCUGACCACAAAUGGAGUGCUACAUUAACAAGAGAGUUAUCUGAAUGUUUUAAUGUGACUCAAAGUAUCGCUUUCUGAAUCAUCAUUUGAUUAUGAGUUUAGAAAUUCUGAAAGCUUUUAAAAGCAAACUAUGAGUUAACUUUUAAUAUUGAUCUAAGUGUUAAAUAAAAAAUUUUAAUCACC
This is a long non-coding RNA of Fundulus heteroclitus (mummichog), 571 nucleotides long. RefSeq lists it as uncharacterized. NCBI's taxonomy places the organism in Eukaryota, Metazoa, Chordata, Actinopteri, Cyprinodontiformes, Fundulidae. The record is from RefSeq and is a predicted model, not a curated record. The transcript has 2 exons.